This 24-nucleotide microRNA is filed under the name Solanum tuberosum (potato). Its description in RNAcentral is "stu-miR8019-3p". The record is from miRBase by way of RNAcentral. Lineage: Eukaryota; Viridiplantae; Streptophyta; Magnoliopsida; Solanales; Solanaceae.
AAAAGAAUGACCUGGUUUGACUUG